UGCGGCUGGAACACCUCCUUUCUAGAGACAUAAAAAAGACCUAGGGUCUUACUCUCGCUGUUAGUUCAAAAAAAAAGACUUAAAAUACAGAGUCUCGUAGCUCAGCUGGUUAGAGUACUACACUGAUAAUGUAGGGGUCGGCAGUUCGAGUCUGCCCGGGACUACUUUUAACAAGUAUUUUAAGAGAAAAAGGAAAUUUUAGAAGUUGAGUCCUUGAAUUUUGAAAUUUGAGAUUUAAAUUUUGAAAUUGAAAACGGGGGAUUAGCUCAGCUGGCUAGAGCGCCUGCCUUGCACGCAGGAGGUCAUCGGUUCGACUCCGAUAUUCUCCACGAAAAAAAUGAUAAUUAUCAAUUGAUAAUUGUUAAUUGAUUAAAGUUCAUUGACAUAUUGAGAUAAACAUACAAACAAGUAGAAAGAACACGAUUAAUACGGCGCACAGCAGUAUUAAUUAUAAUAAAGAUAUUUACUAGUGAUAGUAAAAAAGAAACAAUAAGCAAAAUAAGGGCGUAUGGGGGAUGCCUAG
Molecule: transfer RNA, 523 nt
Filed under: Flavobacterium columnare
Lineage: Bacteria; Pseudomonadati; Bacteroidota; Flavobacteriia; Flavobacteriales; Flavobacteriaceae
Description: 16S-23S ribosomal RNA intergenic spacer
Rfam family: tRNA (bases 256-329)
Source: RNAcentral